RNAcentral lists this ribosomal RNA (253 nucleotides) under uncultured bacterium. RNAcentral's name for it is "partial 16S ribosomal RNA". It matches the Rfam family "Bacterial small subunit ribosomal RNA", at positions 524 to 776 of the family's 1533-position model. The record is from RNAcentral.
UACAGAGGGUGCAAGCGUCAAUCGGAAUUACUGGGCGUAAAGCGCACGUAGGCGGUUUUUUAAGUCAGAUGUGAAAGCCCCGGGCUCAACCUGGGAAUUGCAUUUGAAACUGGGAAACUAGAGUGUGUGAGAGGGGGGUAGAAUUCCAAGUGUAGCGGUGAAAUGCGUAGAGAUUUGGAGGAAUACCAGUGGCGAAGGCGGCCCCCUGGCACAACACUGACGCUCAGGUGCGAAAGCGUGGGGAGCAAACAGG